GUGCUGAUGACGAGUCCAAAACAAGGACGGACGAAGCAGCUGUCCAGUAC
This 50-nucleotide non-coding RNA is filed under the name Trichobilharzia regenti. Lineage: Eukaryota; Metazoa; Platyhelminthes; Trematoda; Strigeidida; Schistosomatidae. The record is from RNAcentral.